UCUUCAGAUACGGGAUUUAAUCCAGGUGAUGAGGUGAGUGGGGCAACUGUAAAGGAAUGGAUUAAGACAAAGGCUAUUAAAGUGGAUCCUGAUGUACAGCCGGCACCUGCCCAUACUGUGACAAUUAAUCCUGCGGUGAGGAUUUCAGUUUUUUCAGGGGAGGAAAAGGACACUUAUGAUGUGUGGCGAUAUAAGGUGGGGUCCUUGCUUGUAAAACAUGGAGAGGAAGUGGUGGCCACAGCAUUAAGGAGGUCAUUGAAGGGUAGAGCCAGCAAGGUAGUGAUGAAUGUGGGACCUAACGCAAGUGUCAGGGAGAUUGUUGCCAAGAUGGACAGCAUAUUUGGAGCAGUUGAGAAAGGGGAAAACUUGUUAGCAAAAUUCUUCAGUGCUCGUCAGAAGGAGGGAGAGGAUGUGUCUACAUGGAGUUGCAGGCUUGAGGAUAUUAUGAAUAAGGCAGUACAACAAGGAGAUGUCCCAGAUCGGAAUGCAGAGGGAAUGCUACGUACAAUGUUCUGGUCUGGGUUGAGACGAGAAAUCAAAGAUGUUACUGGUCAAAAGUAUGAUACUGUCAGACCGUUUGAUGAGCUGAGAAUUGCAGUACACUAAGUAGAAUGGGAUUUGAUGCAGCGGGAAGAGGUGACAACUCCAGGUAAGGUAGCUGAUAAGGUCAAACCUGUUGUGCAUAUGGCUGCAGCUGAAAGAGAUGAAGGGACUUAUCCAGCAAUUGACAACAGAUAUGGUAGAUAUGAAGAAAACCCAACAAAAGUCUACAGCAAAGCAGAGUGGAGAUAAAGCAGACAAGGGUAAAGGUUCUCAUGGUAAACAGAAGAAAGGGCCUCAGUCCUGGUAUCAGUCCAAUUAUACACAUGGCCAGCAGCAGGCGAGCUUUCAGCCACAGCAGCUAAACCCAGUUCAACCACAGCAUCUCCAGGCCUAGCAACGAGGCCAUCCUCCACCACCACAGUAUCGAGGAAACGAGCCCCAAUGCUCUGCCCUGGAACCACACCCCUCGCCUGGGCUUAACAUUUUUGUUGGCCUAGCUACGCCCCUGGUAAUAAAAUGUGCUAAAAAUAAACUGUGAUAUUACACUUCAUUGAAAUAUUUCUGAUGUUAUGUAAUUAUUGUGUAUAUAUAAUAUUAAACUCUAAUUAAAUUUUUAUUAUUAGCACAGUUGAUGGUUCACAUUCAUAUUUAGCACACAGUUAUUUGCUGUAACUUAUCAAUGGUCACUAGUUGAUGAAUUUAGAUUGUCCAUUCCUGAUUGAUAAGUUAGCACAGGGGCCUGGUUCCUCGAAUGACACAUGUAUCUAGAUCUCCUAAUGCAAAGUUGGCCUCGAUGCUUUAUGUAAGUUCCUUCUGUCUGAGUUGGUGACUUAUUUGCAUUUUGUUCACAGAAACCAGUCUCUUGAUUACUGUUGAACCAGAUGUGAUUUCUGAACCUACAGAUCUCAGCCGAAGGAUGACAUAUUGGCAGAUAAAAUCAGUCAUACUGCACUCUCAGAUCAAGGGGAAUAAAUCUGUAUUAAUUGAGAUCAUGGACCCCAUAUGAUAGCCACAGACUUGACACAAAUGCAGCAAAAACAGCUCAGCAUGUGAGCACAACUGGAGGAGUACAAAUGUAAAACACCUGGAACAUGUUCAUAGACUUCUACAGAUUGAGUGUAGGAUAGAGCUUAUGAUAUAUAUUCUUGAAUGACCUGACCAAGGACCAGCUUGGAGAAUUCCAGCUCAUGGACACGAAAAGUUUCCUAAAACAGAACAUUAAUUGUACCACAGUUGCAGUAACAGGCUGAGGACGCCUCCGCUCCCCAAAGACCGGGUUCACCAAGAACAACACAAACAAUACUUGAACACAGCAAACUUCCUAAAACAGACCAACAUUCUACCACAGCUGCUGUCUGUCACAGGUCAUGGCUGAAGACAUCUGCCCAAAGACUGGGUUCACUUAAUUAGGAAUAACACAAACAAUACUUGGAUAACACCCCUUCAGGCAUAUGUAGUAUGAAGAUAAGAACAUUGUGACUUAGAGCUAGUCCGAAUUAUGGCCUCUACAACAAACAGAGGUUUACUGGUGUCACUCUGUCAUACACAAAAUCUUGUCUAGACUCAUAACUAUUUAGCAUUGUUCAGGUUCAACCAAAGUCUGUAUACAAAUGUAUGACUGUCUUAAUUGCGACAUAUGCAUUAUUUUAAUGGGCAAUUUUACUGUACACUGCUACCUUAUCAAUGUAUAUUUUGAUGCUUGAUUAUAAGUUUGAAUUACAUUCUUUAUUACUCAAAAAUAUCAAAUUUGUCAAACAACUAUCUUGUCAUUAUUGGAUGAUCAAAGGGAGAUAACUCACUUAUCUGUUUCAUAUUUUCAAGGUGGG
Long non-coding RNA from Pecten maximus, 2369 nucleotides. RefSeq lists it as uncharacterized. The transcript has 4 exons. The record is from RefSeq and is a predicted model, not a curated record. Lineage: Eukaryota; Metazoa; Mollusca; Bivalvia; Pectinida; Pectinidae.